GCCCCGAGCCCGAUGGCCGCAUAAAGCCUGCUGCUUUCACUGGCCCGGUGGGGGCCAGCAGGGUCAGGGCCCGCGGAAACCUUCAGCCUGGCAGGCUGGGAGGCCGCGGUGCUGCGCUGGGUCGGCGCGCUCCCCGGGUGGCGCUCAGGCCGGGCGCGUUCAUUUCAUCCACAGUCUGUCGGGAAGGCUUCCCGAACGCCUCCUCCCUGCCCGCCUUUGCGCAGGGCCGGGCUCUUCGGAAACUGAAGUCACGGGCCGCCCGGCCCCACCAGUCCUCGUGGGAUCCGGCCUGGGUUUACCUUCUAUGGGGAGGCCCAGGAGGGCCGGGCGGAGCGCCGGGGCGGGCGGGCGCUGACGUGGCUGGCGGCUCCCUCCACCCGCUCCUCCCGCGGGCACUGCCGAGGCCCGUGGGCGGGAAGCCGGGCGGCGGGCGGGACGUGGCUUCGGUCCCGGCCCUGCCCCGCCGCCACCGAGACUCCCAACGCCACCAACGUCGGAGUUGCAGUUUCUUUAGCUGUCAUAUGCAGACAAGUACUACCCACCUCGCCUUUGGAGUGAGCAGCAUCCCUGUGCCCAUCCCGCUAUGAUUCAGGAGUCUCGCAGAAGACAUUGGAAUGCCUUUCUCUGAGUCACAGUCUGUAUCUUCUAGAAAAGGCUGUCCAUCUUCACCCCGAGCCCACUGGCUCCUGAGAUACGACAUCCAGACCCAGUGCAGCUGGACCUGGCCCAGGAAGAUCAUGUGGUUUCUGGGAAGCACUGGAGAAGGAAAAGGCUGAAGAAAGGAAGACCGGAAAAGAAAUACAAGUCCUUCCGCCUUGGCAAAGAUGAUAGUACCGUUCCCUUUGGUGUUCCGAUUCUGCUCUAUUGGAUAAGUUCCGGUUUGACUAUGACUAUGUGAAAAUGUGGAACCAGACCUUCACCCCACAUUCCAGCUCCAGCUCUACCACAGAGGAAGUGCAAUAUCACCUUAGUUAUUCAACAAAUUAUGCUCCUCGUGAUACAACCAGAGUUCACAUCAGCAACCUUGGCAGCUCUCACCACGCUGCUGACUCACGACACUCUCAUGUCCCAAUUUCCUGUCCAUUGUUCUUUCCUCUACUUGGCCUGAUUUCUAAAGGCCUCUCUUGGUUGCGUUAAGCGGGAUUCCUGAGGGAUUCCCUCGGCAGUCACCUUGGGGGAGCCCUUAGGUUUGGGGCUGAUCCAUGUCCUCUAAAUGUAGGACUUCAAAGCUCCCAAAGACAGGCAGGCCCAGUGGGAAGCUGGGAAAUGCUGUCUGACCCCUCUGGGAGGGCUGGCAGUCAGAGCGCCUUUUGGAAAGAGUCAGACCCGAUCCAUAAGUCCCUGGAAAAAACCCUGCCCAGGGAGCAAAUGCCACUGUGGCCUUGACUGAGGCUUCAGAAGAGUUUGGGAGCUGCAAUUCAUCCACACACGCAUUCAUUUUCAAGUAGUGGUUUGCAGUUCAGGCUUUGGAGCCACAUAAGCCUGGCUUCAAAGCCGCUUUCCAGCUUGUGACUUUAGGAAGUCGCUACAUUUUUAAACUUCCAUUUUUUUUUCCUGUAAAACUGGGGUCUUCAUGGUACUUACUUCAUUGUGAUGUUGAGAGAAUGAAAAGAAAAAGGAUAAAUAAAUGGCUUAGCCUCGUGCCUUGGCA
Symphalangus syndactylus (siamang) is the source of this 1651-nucleotide long non-coding RNA. RefSeq lists it as uncharacterized. NCBI's taxonomy places the organism in Eukaryota, Metazoa, Chordata, Mammalia, Primates, Hylobatidae. The record is from RefSeq and is a predicted model, not a curated record.